This 502-nucleotide ribosomal RNA is filed under the name uncultured Glomeromycotina. Its description in RNAcentral is "partial small subunit ribosomal RNA". It matches the Rfam family "Eukaryotic small subunit ribosomal RNA", at positions 591 to 1092 of the family's 1831-position model. Lineage: Eukaryota; Fungi; Glomeromycota. The record is from RNAcentral.
CCAAUAGCGUAUAUUAAAGUUGUUGCAGUUAAAAAGCUCGUAGUUGAAUUUCGGGGUCUGUCCAUUGGUCGGGCUUCACGGUCCGUACUGGUGUGAUGGGUUCCUACCUUCUGAAUAACCAGCAUGCCAUUCAGUUGGUGCGCCGGGGAAGCAGAGCUAUUACCUUGAAAAAAUUAGAGUGCUUAAAGCAGGCUAGUGCUUGAAUAGAUUAGCAUGGAAUAAUAAAAUAGGACGGCAUGGUUCUAUUUUGUUGGUUUCUAGGAUCACCGUAAUGAUUAAUAGGGAUAGUUGGGGGCAUUAGUGUUCAACUGUCAGAGGUGAAAUUCUUGGAUUUAUUGAAGACUAACUUCUGCGAAAGCAUUUGCCAAGGAUGUUUUCAUUAAUCAAGAACGAAAGUUAGGGGAUCGAAGACGAUCAGAUACCGUCGUAGUCUUAACCAUAAACUAUGCCGACUAGGGAUCGGACGAUGUUAAUUUUUUAAUGACUCGUUCGGCGCCUUACG